GAUGAACGCUGGCGGCGUGCUUAAUGCAUGCAAGUCGAACGAGAACCUUUUUGUAGGUAACUACAGAGAGACUUCUAGUGGCGAACGGGUGAGUAACACGUGAGAAACCUGCCCCGAAGACCGGGAUAGUCCAUGGAAACGUGGAUUAAUACCGGGUACCCUCACGGAAUCGCAUGGUUCUGUGAGGAAAUGCUCCGGCGCUUUGGGAUGGUCUCGCGGCCUAUCAGCUUGUUGGUGAGGUAACGGCUCACCAAGGCACUGACGGGUAGCUGGUCUGAGAGGACGAUCAGCCACACUGGGACUGAGACACGGCCCAGACUCCUACGGGAGGCAGCAGCAGGGAAUAUUGCACAAUGGGCGCAAGCCUGAUGCAGCGACGCCGCGUGAGGGAUGAAGGCUUUCGGGUUGUAAACCUCUUUCAGUGGGGAAGAAGCGCAAGUGACGGUACCCACACAAGAAGGCCCGGCCAACUACGUG
Molecule: ribosomal RNA, 477 nt
Filed under: uncultured bacterium
Lineage: Bacteria
Description: bacterial SSU rRNA
Rfam family: Bacterial small subunit ribosomal RNA
Source: RNAcentral